RNAcentral lists this transfer RNA (70 nucleotides) under Marmota monax (woodchuck). RNAcentral's name for it is "tRNA.Ser". Lineage: Eukaryota; Metazoa; Chordata; Mammalia; Rodentia; Sciuridae. The record is from RNAcentral.
UGAGGUAUCUCAGUGAUAGAGUACUUGUCUAGAAUGUGCAAGGAUCUAGGUUCAAUCCCUAGUGCCACAA